This 253-nucleotide ribosomal RNA is filed under the name uncultured bacterium. Its description in RNAcentral is "partial 16S ribosomal RNA". It matches the Rfam family "Bacterial small subunit ribosomal RNA", at positions 524 to 776 of the family's 1533-position model. The record is from RNAcentral.
UACGGGGGGGGCAAGCGUUGUUCGGAAUUACUGGGCGUAAAGGGCUCGUAGGCGGCCAACUAAGUCGGACGUGAAAUCCCCAGGCUCAACCUGGGAACUGCGUCCGAUACUGGAUGGCUUGAAUUCGGGAGAGGGAUGCAGAAUUCCAGGUGUAGCGGUGAAAUGCGUAGAUAUCUGGAGGAACACCAGUGGCGAAAGCGCGAGACUGGGCCAUAACUGACGCUGAGGAACGAAAGCCAGGGUAGCAAAAGGG